RNAcentral lists this ribosomal RNA (419 nucleotides) under Ehrlichia canis. RNAcentral's name for it is "bacterial SSU rRNA". It matches the Rfam family "Bacterial small subunit ribosomal RNA", at positions 26 to 434 of the family's 1533-position model. Lineage: Bacteria; Pseudomonadati; Pseudomonadota; Alphaproteobacteria; Rickettsiales; Anaplasmataceae. The record is from RNAcentral.
GUCAUAUCUUCCCUAUAGAACGAACGCUGGCGGCAAGCCUAACACAUGCAAGUCGAACGGUCAAUUAUUUAAUAGCCUCUGGCUAUAGGAAAUUGUUAGUGGCAGACGGGUGAGUAAUGCGUAGGAAUCUACCUAGUAGUACGGAAUAGCCAUUAGAAAUGGUGGGUAAUACUGUAUAAUCCCCGAGGGGGAAAGAUUUAUCGCUAUUAGAUGAGCCUACGUUAGAUUAGCUAGUUGGUGAGGUAAUGGCUUACCAAGGCUAUGAUCUAUAGCUGGUCUGAGAGGACGAUCAGCCACACUGGAACUGAGAUACGGUCCAGACUCCUACGGGAGGCAGCAGUGGGGAAUAUUGGACAAUGGGCGAAAGCCUGAUCCAGCUAUGCCGCGUGAGUGAAGAAGGCCUCGGGUCNAAACUCUCA